This 87-nucleotide transfer RNA is filed under the name Candidatus Scatomorpha gallistercoris. RNAcentral's name for it is "tRNA-Leu". It matches the Rfam family "tRNA". Rfam says of the family: Transfer RNA (tRNA) molecules are approximately 80 nucleotides in length. Their secondary structure includes four short double-helical elements and three loops (D, anti-codon, and T loops). Lineage: Bacteria; Bacillati; Bacillota; Clostridia; Eubacteriales. The record is from RNAcentral.
GCCGGUGUGGUGGAAUUGGCAGACACCUGGGACUUAAAAUCCCAUAUCCGCAAGGAUGUACGGGUUCGAUCCCCGUCACCGGCACCA